Molecule: ribosomal RNA, 939 nt
Filed under: uncultured bacterium
Lineage: Bacteria
Description: bacterial SSU rRNA
Rfam family: Bacterial small subunit ribosomal RNA
Source: RNAcentral
GGUUAUCUUUGAUGGUACCUCAAGAGGAAGCCACGGCUAACUCUGUGCCAGCAGCCGCGGUAAUACAGAGGUGGCUAGCGUUGUUCGGAUUUACUGGGCGUAAAGCGUGCGUAGGCGGUCGCGUGUGUCGGAUGUGAAAUCCCGGGGCUCACCCCUGGAAGUGCAUCCGAAACUGCGUGGCUUGAGUCUGGGAUGGGUGACUGGAACACAUGGUGUAGCGGUGAAAUGCGUUGAUAUCAUGUGGAACACCGGAGGCGAAAGCGAGUCACUGGAACAGAACUGACGCUGAGGCACGAAAGCGUGGGGAGCAAACAAAAGUAGAUACCCUGGUAGUCCACCCCGUAAACGUCCUAUGUAAGGCGUUGGGGGAAUUGGCCCCUCCAGUGGCGGAGCUACGCCGUUAAAUGUGCCGCCUGGGGAGUACGGCCGCAAGGCUAAAACUCAAAGAAAUUGACGGGGGCCCGCACAAGCGGAGGAGCAUGUGGCUUAAUUCGAUGCAACGCGAAGAACCUUACCCAGACUUGACAUGUGACUGCACGCCCUGUGAAAGCAGGGUUCCUUCGAGGGUGUCACACAGGUGCUGCAUGGCUGUCGUCAGUUCGUGCCGUGAGGUGUUUGGUUAAGUCCACCAACGAACGCAACCCCUGCGUCCAUUUGCCAACAGGUAAUGCUGGGAACUAUGGACGGACUGCCCCUUCAAACGGGAGGAAGGUGGGGAUGACGUCAAGUCAGUAUGGCCCUUACGUCUGGGGCUGCACACGUGCUACAAUGGUCGGUACAGCAGGAAGCAAGACCGCAAGGUGGAGCAAAACCCUAAAGCCGGCCUCAGUUCGGAUUGGAGUCUGCAAUUCGACUCCAUGAAGUUGGAUUCGCUAGUAACGGCGCAUCAGCAUUUGGUGCCGUGAAUACGUUCCCGGGCCUUGUACACACCGCCCGUCA